AAUAUUGCGCAAUGGGGGAAACCCUGACGCAGCGACGCCGCGUGAGUGAUGAAGGUCUUCGGAUCGUAAAACUCUGUCCUCAGGGAAGAAACAAAUGACGGUACCUGAGGAGGAAGCCCCGGCUAACUACGUGCCAGCAGCCGCGGUAAUACGUAGGGGCGAGCGUUGUCCGGAAUUAUUGGGCGUAAAGGGUGCGUAGGCGGUCCUUUAAGUCAGAUGUGAAAGACCACAGCUUAACUGUGGGAUUGCAUUUGAAACUGCAUAGCUAGAGUGCAGGAGAGGAAAGUGGAAUUCCUAGUGUAGCGGUGAAAUGCGUAGAUAUUAGGAGGAACACCAGUGGCGAAGGCGACUUUCUGGACUGUAACUGACGCUGAUGCACGAAAGCGUGGGUAGCGAACA
Molecule: ribosomal RNA, 399 nt
Filed under: uncultured bacterium
Lineage: Bacteria
Description: partial 16S ribosomal RNA
Rfam family: Bacterial small subunit ribosomal RNA
Source: RNAcentral